GCCUCAAAUAAUGUGUGACUACCCC
Molecule: ribosomal RNA, 25 nt
Filed under: Aedes albopictus (Asian tiger mosquito)
Lineage: Eukaryota; Metazoa; Arthropoda; Insecta; Diptera; Culicidae
Also listed under: 9 other names
Description: partial 28S ribosomal RNA
Source: RNAcentral